CAGAUAUAUCUGAUGAGAUAGGAGUAUUGCAUUGGUCCAUUCCAUCAUGUGAACAUUGCAAAGGUCAUAAUCUUAUAAGGACAAAUCUGAAGAUAUUAGGUAUUUGCGCACUUUGUUUAGUUCUAAUAGCGACGGGGACGACAAUCUGCUAUGUCUACAACUCAAACAAAAAGGAAAAAGAAAAUCAGCUUAGAAUUGAAAGAUUUUUGGAUGAAUACAGAGCGAUGAAGCCAAGUAGAUACUCCUAUGUUGAUAUUAAGAGGAUAACAAGUCAAUUCAAGGAAAAGUUGGG
Molecule: long non-coding RNA, 292 nt
Organism: Prunus dulcis (almond)
Lineage: Eukaryota; Viridiplantae; Streptophyta; Magnoliopsida; Rosales; Rosaceae
Exons: 3
Source: RefSeq, a predicted model, not a curated record